This 170-nucleotide ribosomal RNA is filed under the name Sphyraena stellata. Its description in RNAcentral is "partial 12S rRNA". Lineage: Eukaryota; Metazoa; Chordata; Actinopteri; Sphyraenidae. The record is from RNAcentral.
CACCGCGGUUAUACGAGGGGCCCAAGUUGAUAGUCAACGGCGUAAAGCGUGGUUAGAGAUAAAUAAGUAAUAAAGCCGAAGGUUCUCAAGGCUGUUUAACGCUUACCGAGAAUAUGAAGCCCCAUCACGAAAGUAGCUUUACAAUACCUGAACCCACGAACGCUGAGAAA